CCUACGGGAGGCAGCAGUGGGGAAUAUUGGACAAUGGGGGCAACCCUGAUCCAGCCAUGCCGCGUGUGUGAAGAAGGCCCUCGGGUUGUAAAGCACUUUCAGUGAGGAAGAACGCCUGGUGGUUAAUACCCAUCAGGAAAGACAUUACUCACAGAAGAAGCACCGGCUAACUCCGUGCCAGCAGCCGCGGUAAUACGGAGGGUGCGAGCGUUAAUCGGAAUUACUGGGCGUAAAGCGCGCGUAGGUGGCUUGAUAAGCCGGUUGUGAAAGCCCCGGGCUCAACCUGGGAACGGCAUCCGGAACUGUCAAGCUAGAGUGCAGGAGAGGAAGGUAGAAUUCCCGGUGUAGCGGUGAAAUGCGUAGAGAUCGGGAGGAAUACCAGUGGCGAAGGCGGCCUUCUGGACUGACACUGACACUGAGGUGCGAAAGCGUGGGUAGCAAACAGGAUUAGAUACCCCUGUAGUC
Molecule: ribosomal RNA, 465 nt
Filed under: Vreelandella stevensii
Lineage: Bacteria; Pseudomonadati; Pseudomonadota; Gammaproteobacteria; Oceanospirillales; Halomonadaceae
Description: partial 16S ribosomal RNA
Rfam family: Bacterial small subunit ribosomal RNA
Source: RNAcentral